AAAAAAAUAUCGGACGGUUUGUACCACGCACCCACUACUCCAACUGCACAAUACGAGAUGGGAGAAGAAAGAACCUCCACUGCAAUGCCUCUGCGUCAUCGUUUACUACCAUUGACCCAAUCUGCCGCGUACUUCCGUAGUUCCUCCGCCGCCAGCGCCUCCCUGCUCGGCGACCACCCCCACACUACCCCGUGCGUCUCUGCCUCAUACUGCGCCCAAAUCUCCCCGUCGAGCUCCGCCGGGAGAUUGCAAUUGCGCCGGUAGGCUUCUCUGCGCUGCGUGCUGGCCGUUGGCCGCCGCCGCCGGCGUCUUAGGCAGCUGCACCUCGGGUGGCCACACCUUGAGUAGUACGUGUAAAAUACCAACGUGUUCUCCGCGCGGGAAGCCACCUCCGCCAGUUCGUCGGGCCAUCACCGUCUCCACCAGUUCCUCCUUUAGUCUGAUGGGAUGGGGAGACAAUCUAGAAGGGGAUGGAUGGCUGCAUCGCUCAAUCGGAGUGGCAGGCGACCAUUGGAGUCCAAUAUGGAUUUAUUAGGCAUAGACAGAAUAGUUUCUUGCCCAAAUCAUAGCUAACGAUUUUAAAUUUGGCUUUGUAUUUCUGUAGAUAUGUGAUCAUAAACAAUCAUCGUGAUGUGUGGACAUUUGUUGCAGUCGAUAGUGGGACAACAACUAUGCUCAAGAUCUCCAAGUUAAAAAAGAAAGGAUGGAUAGAUCAAUCAUCGUUUGCAGUUGGGAUGUAGCAGAGUUUGCACUGUAUAUCUCAUAUAGGGUCUACAGAGUGAGUACAAGACAACAAGGAUAUGCUUGCUGCAGGAGCUAUUGCUUAUCUGAAUGUGGAAUAAUAGGUUUUUGGGCCUGGAGGUUUUUUUCGAAGGAUUUAGCGAGCAAUCCGAUUCUUCUUGGUGGAAGACUUGUGAACAGAGUCACAGCCACGAAAAUUCACAUAAAAAAAGGUAAUACAAAUCAAUCCAAGUCCAAACAUAAUUGCAUGAGUGUAGCUUUCAAAUUUCCAAUUCAAACAUCAGCUUUCUUCAUGAUAGACGCUGCGUCCAAAUAAGUGGGGCCUAAAUACAAACACCAACAAACUCACUUAAAGUUAGAGAAAUCAACGACUGAUUGAUGAUGGCAUAGUGAGACUUCAGCGCCAAGGCCUUGCUGGAGGCCGAGUGGGGCCUGUAGAUGGGUUAACCGAAGUGGAGCUGGAGCCUUGAGCCAAUGCCAUGGCAAACCGCUAGACAGCAGCACUAGCACCAGCCGCGCCGCCGGAACCCUCGUCCACCGUCGGCCCGUUGUCAGCGCCUGCAAUGGCAACCACUGCCACAAUCCAGUCAGUCAAACGUGAACUUCUGUUCAGCGUUGAUCGUGGAUGUGGUAAAAAAAGUAUGUCCCUGCCUGAUUCCUCACAUUCUCCCUCAUUCUCAUCUUCGCGCCGCUGCCAUGCUCGUUGCUGUCACUUGCCCUCGCGUAGUUGCGAUUAUUGCCUCUUGGCCUUGUGCUGUGGAAGAAGCCAGCAGGCGCCAUCAGUACGCCCACGCCGUUCAGCGCGAGUUCUAGGUCGAGCAAGGUGUAGGCACUGUUGUUCUUGCAGCUUAACGCCUACUAUAUUGCAGCAUUUUUUUUUCAAAAUUCUAGGUACCUCAAGCUAUUAUAUUUCUUCUUUUCAUCAUUCCCCUUGGUAUUUCCUGCCGUGUUAGUGUUUUCUUCGAAGGAUUUAGCGAGCAAUCCGAUUCUUCUUGGCAGGUUAGCAAAGGUUUUAGAAGAGAUGUAUGUAGUUUUAUACUAUUUAUAAGCACCCUUUAAGAUACUUCAUCCUUUGAUCUGUGGCAAGUUUCGGUUAUGAUUUACAUAAAAAAAUACGUAUCUGUCUGUUUUUAAGCACCGUAUAAGAUACUUGUAAAAUAUUACCUGGUACCAUACUAUUUGACCAUGAAAAGAUUCCCCCUGAAGAAGUGAGAAGUGAGAACACUUUCGAAUUUCUUGUACAUUUUAUAGGGGCUAUGCAAUACAGUAUGUCCUCGUCGUCGUCUGGUCUGCGUGGUUGUUCAUUUGCUCCCACGCCUACACUGCGGCCACAUUAUUCAAUCACCUCAGGUGUGUCUUUGUUCUUCCAUUGGUUUGUACAUGAAUUUCCACAAUCAUUUUCUAUGGAUCUAGGGAAACGCCUGCCUGCCUUUCAGAUUCAAUGUAAGUAAACAUGGUGGGUGCUGUGGAGAUGAGUCGUGGUUACAGGUUUCUGUUGCAAAACAUUCUGUGCCAUUACUGAACUUGUCGCCUCAUGUGACUUGAGCUAUGGAAAUUGUGAUCAAAUUUAAUACUAUUACUGCAAGUUCAAUGCCUUGUGUAAAUUGAGUUAUCACGGCUGUGAGCUGCAUGACCAAGAAAAUUUAUCAUUCGUAUGCAGCUGCGUGUACGGUUGUUGGUUCUCUCCAUUUCUUAGUUCAUAGCCACUAAUUUGUAAUUUUUGUUUAUAAAUCUAUAGCAAACUAGCUUCUCUGAAGAUGUCAUGGAACAUUUUAAUACUUCAAUUUUCUUGGCAUUUCACACCUUGGCUUUUGUAACUCAGGUGUUACAUGACUGAAGUUACAAUGAUAAAUCUUUUGAAAUUUGUUAGUUGGCA
Lolium rigidum is the source of this 2617-nucleotide long non-coding RNA. RefSeq lists it as uncharacterized. The transcript has 5 exons. The record is from RefSeq and is a predicted model, not a curated record. Lineage: Eukaryota; Viridiplantae; Streptophyta; Magnoliopsida; Poales; Poaceae.